Pygocentrus nattereri (red-bellied piranha) is the source of this 107-nucleotide small nuclear RNA. The record is from Ensembl. NCBI's taxonomy places the organism in Eukaryota, Metazoa, Chordata, Actinopteri, Characiformes, Serrasalmidae.
GUGCUCCCUACGGCAGCACAUAUACUAAAAUUUGAUCGAUACAGAGAAGAUUAGCAUGGCCCCUGCGAAAGGAUGACACGCAAAUCUGUGAAGCGCUCCAUAUUUUU